GGUAAAAUGGAGGCACGAAAUGCUUACAAAGCUAUAAUGUGACAGUUUAACCGUAACUGUUUCUUUCUCUAAACCUGUGCUAAACCUGUUUUUACAGUAUACAUUAAGGAAUAUACUGGAAAAUCCUAAACUAUUGCAGAAUGCAUCUUUGUUAUUGCUGUAGUAAUAAUAGACAUUCCCUGAACACAUCUUUUGUACUAAAGUUCUAAGUUUUUACAAGUAUUAAUGAACAACCUAACUAAAAUAUAAAAAUCAUUAUCUUCCUAAACAAGGAAUCUGGGCACAGAGUUAAGUACUUGGCCUCAGAUUAAGAAGUUGCAACUGGAAGCAGGAGUCCGAAGGAGGCAGACCAUCCCAGAGCCUUCCUGUGUAAUCCCUCCAGAGCCUCAGCUUUUCACGUCGCAGUGUGAAAAACUAAAGCCCAGGGAACCCUUCGGGCAGAAGCUGCAAAGGAUCCCAAGUGAUGGGUGAAGAAGACAGAUGUUUAUCUUCUGAGAUCACCUUAUUCAACAGAGCAUCAAAUCUUAAGAUCCCUAAGAUUAUUCAGGAACGAUUGCAGCAUCAAGUCCUUCCUCUGGAUCGAAGAUAGCAGGGAUUGCUCUGUGAAUUCUUAAAUAUCGAAAGACCUGAACUUGAGGAGAGACCACAUUCGUCCUUGAUAAACUGAAAGGAGCCUAGGACCACUACACUCUUCCAGCCAAGCAUUUUAAUCAGCACAUGGUGCUGACGGGGCACACAUCAUGAAGCUCACUGGAGCUUUGUUUGGAAAGAUUAUGUAAGCUUUAGAAUGUCCGUCCUAAAGUUCACUGUUCCGAGCAAGAUCAGAAGGAAAUCCUGAACUCUACACCAAAGAAAUUUCUCAGAAGGAUGAGAGGGAUUAAUCUUGUUCCUUGGAUUCCCAUAAUUGUUACAUAGAAUUGCCAACUUUGAUAUAUUCUUCUAAAAAGACCCUGCUUUAUUAUUUUUGUUUGCUUUCUCUUAAGCUUUUGCUAAACAAUUUGGAUAAUAAUUAUAUGUUUCUUGAAGCCAAGUGAAGGUGACAGAUGGGUAAUUUAACAUGCUCAAAUAGAAGUUUAGCACUGACUGGGAUCUGCUGCUAAGGUACCUACAAAUUGUAGAAGUUCAAUUACACUGCUGUCCCAUGUUCCUCAUUUACACUCUGACUCUUUCAGUACUGACCACUAGAACAUCAUCCACAUGCCUUACCAGCCUUCUUUUUCCUUUCUCUUUUACACAAGUAUUGUUCUAGAACAGGUCGUAUUUCAU
Heterocephalus glaber (naked mole-rat) is the source of this 1266-nucleotide long non-coding RNA. RefSeq lists it as uncharacterized. The record is from RefSeq and is a predicted model, not a curated record. Lineage: Eukaryota; Metazoa; Chordata; Mammalia; Rodentia; Bathyergidae.